This is a long non-coding RNA of Phyllostomus discolor (pale spear-nosed bat), 159 nucleotides long. RefSeq lists it as uncharacterized. The record is from RefSeq and is a predicted model, not a curated record. Lineage: Eukaryota; Metazoa; Chordata; Mammalia; Chiroptera; Phyllostomidae. The transcript has 2 exons.
CCAAAACAAGGAGACCAAGAAACAUGGCCCAAAUGAAAGAACAUAUUAAAACUCCAGAAAAAGCUCUAAAUGAAAUGGAGAUAAGCAAUCUAUCAGAUGUAGAGUUCAAAACAUUGGUUAUGGGGAUGCUCGAGGAACUCAGUGAAGACCUUAGCAGCA